CCCAGACUCCUACGGGAGGCAGCAGUGGGGGAUAUUGCACAAUGGGGGGAACCCUGAUGCAGCGACGCCGCGUGGGUGAAGGAGCGUUUCGGCGCGUAAAGCCCUAUCGGCAGGGAAGAAGGAGGACGGUACCUGACUAAGAAGCCCCGGCUAACUACGUGCCAGCAGCCGCGGUAAUACGUAGGGGGCAAGCGUUAUCCGGAUUUACUGGGUGUAAAGGGGGCGCAGACGGCAGCGCAAGCCAGGAGUGAAAGCCCGGGGCGCAGCCCCGGGACUGCUCUUGGAACUGCGCGGCUGGAGUGCAGGAGGGGCAGGCGGAAUUCCUGGUGUAGCGGUGAAAUGCGUAGAUAUCAGGAGGAACACCGGUGGCGAAGGCGGCCUGCUGGACUGCGACUGACGUUGAGGCCCGAAAGCGUGGGGAGCAAACAGGAUUAGAUACCCCAGUAAG
This 448-nucleotide ribosomal RNA is filed under the name uncultured bacterium. Its description in RNAcentral is "bacterial SSU rRNA". It matches the Rfam family "Bacterial small subunit ribosomal RNA", at positions 330 to 793 of the family's 1533-position model. The record is from RNAcentral.